Molecule: ribosomal RNA, 497 nt
Filed under: uncultured bacterium
Lineage: Bacteria
Description: partial 16S ribosomal RNA
Rfam family: Bacterial small subunit ribosomal RNA
Source: RNAcentral
GAUGAACGCUGGCGGCGUGCCUAAUACAUGCAAGUCGAGCGAACAGACGAGGAGCUUGCUCCUCUGACGUUAGCGGCGGACGGGUGAGUAACACGUGGAUAACCUACCUAUAAGACUGGGAUAACUUCGGGAAACCGGAGCUAAUAACGGAUAAUAUAUUGAACCGCAUGGUUCAAUAGUUAAAGACGGUUUUGCGGUCGCUUAUAGAUGAAUACGGACCGCAUUAGCUAGUUGUUAAGGUAACGGCUUAGCAAGGCAACGAUGCGUAGCCGACCCGAGAGGGUGGAUGGACAGCUGGGCAGUGAGGCAGGGCAGAGACUCCUAGGGGGGGACGCAGUCGGGAAUCUUCCGCGAUGGGGGAGAGCGUGAUGGAGCAACGCCGGGGGAGGGAUGAAGGUGUUCGGAUGGGAGAGCUCUGUUAUUAGGGAAGAACAAAUGUGUAAGUAACCAGGCACGUCAUGACGGUACCGAGUCAGAAAGCCACGGCUAACUACGUG